Molecule: long non-coding RNA, 6561 nt
Filed under: Daucus carota (carrot)
Lineage: Eukaryota; Viridiplantae; Streptophyta; Magnoliopsida; Apiales; Apiaceae
Description: long non-coding RNA (DCAR_LNC001905)
Source: RNAcentral
AAAUAUGAACGAGUCCAGGCCUUUAUUGGGCAUGUAUUCGUACACCAACAUUCUUUCUCCCUCCUGCACAGAGCAGCCGAGAAGCUUCACAAGGUUUCGGUGCUGAAGUUGAGCAAUGCAGGAAACUUCAUUUUUAAACUCUUUCAAUCCUUGCCUCGAAUCCUUCGAAAGCCUCUUUACAGCUAUUUCUUUUCCAUCAUCGAGCAUACCCUAAAACAAAUCACUGAUAAACUUUCAUCUUCUCUAAUGGGAUAAAAUGACAUUUUCUUUCGUCAAUUACUCUAAUGAAGAAGCAAGACCAUGUACCAAGAGCUACACAUGCUUCAACUCGUGAUGUUUCUGAUUUCGUAAACAAUUAUUUUAUUUGUUGGGUUAUGCUUAGGGGUGGCAAUCGUUUCGUUUUGUAUAAUUUUUUUCGUGUACACGAAGGUGAAACCUGUAUCCGCCCGUUAUUAAUUUCGUGUACCUAAUUUGAAAUCCGUAUCCGAUCCGAAACGUUUCGUGUAUAUUUCGUUUACUUUUCCAGUAUAUUAUAUAUAAAAAUAUUAAUAUAUUUUUUAAUCAAAAAAAUAGAUUUAAUAUAUAUUUUCCUUUAUAAUUUUAUUAAAUGUGAAUGAUAUAUUUAUACAUGUAUACAAUUCUAUGUAAAUUGUUAAUGUGUCUACAAUAUAUAUCCACACAUACAUAUAAAUAUAUACUUUUUACACAAUUAUAUAUCUGAUAUAUCAUAACAUAUAUAUAAUAAAUAUUAUGUACAAAUAUUUCGUGUACUUUCGUGUACCCCAAUUAAAAACCCAUAUCCGAUACGAAAUCUAUAGUGUACUUUCGUGUUUCGUGUAUCGAAAAUCAAAACCAAUAUCAUUUUUUUCGUGUCGUUUCAUUUCGUGUUAACGUGUUACGUGUCAAAUUGUCAGGCCUAGUUCUACUAUACAAUUUAGUUGACUUUUAACCUUGAUCAGAUGCUGGCAUGACAAUUACCUUAUAGACAGGCCCAAAGCCACCUUCUCCAAGCAUGGAGUAUUUUGAGAAGCCAUUGGUUGCAAUAUCUAAGGUUGUGAUGUCAAACAAUGGCAACUCUAAAUCCUCGGCACCCAUCUCAUUGCUCCCACAGUUUUCAAAAUACGGGUCUGUUAUCCCUGCAUUUUCCAUGUGCAAACUCAUACAGUAAAGUAAAAGCAUAAACUUGAAAAUUCGAAAGAAGACAUUGAAUUGUUGUAAUACCUUCUGUGUGCUUCUUCUUCUUCUUUUUGUUCCUGAUUACCCACAGGCAUACACACAUCAUUGUUACCGUCAUUAGAAUAGGUAUCCAUACGAACCUUACUUUGGAUCUCCCUUUUUUGCCUUCAUAAUUAAACAGGAAGUGAAUCAAUUUACUAUAUUCCACAAAACAGGGAAAGACAUAUAUGUAACAAGUAGUUCUGAAACCGGUAGACGGUAUUAAAUGAAAACAUUCAGAGUACCUAAUUCAGAUGCAGCCAUUCUUAUGUAAAGAACUUGACCGUUCUCUUUCUCAUCUCUAAUAUCAAUAAGCUCAUUAAACCACAACAAGCAUCCGCUUCCACUGCCUCGAACAUCUGUAUUUGCAUAAGCUGUGCAUGAGCAAUUGCUCAAGCAUUCUUUCUGGCACUCGUCAAGGUUCAUAUUCUUAUCAAACCAGGAACGCUGAGUAUCUGGUAAUUUCAAGCCUGAAUGUUUCACAAAUCCCUCUCCAUUCCCACAACUCAGUUUUUCUUUCCUUGCACAGCCUCUGGACCAGUCUGUAGCAUCCCAUCCUAUUUUAUCUUUUGGCUGAAAACCACGGAAACACAUGCACUUAGGAGAAUUGUCAAUGUUACAGCUCCCAUAAGCUCCACAUACCCUAUAAUAAUCACAAUCAUCAAUUGGUCCAGCAAGAAAACGCUGCCAAAUUCGAGAUUUUUCAAUCCAUACCCAUCUUUGUAUAUAACCUAAUGGAUUCAACACCCUCCUUGUAUAAACUGAACUAUUAACAGCUUCGUAAACAUAAUAUAACUCCUUGUCAUUAGAAACAAAAUUAAUCGUGUAAAUUUGGUUGGGGCUCAAGUUGGGCGUUCCAGAAAAUCUAAGGCCAUUCCAAGAUCCCCCACGUGAAUCUAUAGCCGAACCUUUCCUUAUCAUGAGCUGUGGAAAUCCAUUACGGUCAAUAUGAUUUGUAUAUUCACCUGGAGAUGGAUCAUCAAGACUCUUCCAGGAAGUGAGGUAUCUUUCUAGCCCCGUUUCCAAAUUCCACCCGAGCUUAGCACCUGGUAAAUGAGUGUUUCCAGGUUUAUCAAAACUUUGCCACAGGUAAUUAUCAGUCUCACUUUCAUCUCUAAUAACAAGAUUCCCAGAAUCCAGCAGCUGCACAACAGGAUUAUUCACAGAUGCCGUGGAGUUUGACGACCAAACCACAUCAUCAGAAGCAUUGAGAAUGACAAGAUUUCCGUUGCUGUUAAGUCUCAAGAUAUUUGAUGUAGUAUUGAGAGGAGCUUCUCUGUUGGCAAUCCACACAAUUGUCUUUUCCGCUAUCUUCUUGUACCAUAUACCCACGUACCGAUUUGCCGAACUCCCAACAGUUACAAAGCCAAGUUCGAAAUGAGCAGCAGAUGAAACAAUAGUGCUUCCAUCAUCUCUAAGGAUUUGGUCUGGUCCUAUAAUAUCUCCGGCUGCUGCUACUGUACAGUUUAGUGAAACUGAAAAUAACAAAAUGCAGACUAAAAAAAGCUUCAAAACUGUUGUAGAGCUGCAGCCUUCCAUUAACUUUGUUAUAUUAUUUCAGUUGUUGCUCAGAGAGAAAUGAAAAAUUAACAGUGUCCCCCCCGCCUUUUAAUUGUGGAUUUUACAUGUAGCUUUCCGAGAGGUAUUCCCCUUCCCUAACGUUAUGUCUGUCAAUUAUGCACCACACACGUUUCCAUCGGCAUCUGUAAUAUCAGCAGGAAUUCCCUUAUGAAACUUCGAAGUCCUUCCUUUAUUUGUGCCUGCUAUCUGCAUGACUUGUUUACUACGCUGAGAUUGAAAAACUUUCAAUAACAGUCUUUUUUAUUAGUUUAUAUGAAGAGACCAGCCUGGGAAACCACAUAUGUUGUCCGAGGUUUGCAAUGUUGUCUCAAUACAAAAGUGAUCUAUAGAAUCCGCCCCCGAAUCAUUUACAUAUCACAACAAGGCUGUGGUUACCAUCCAUUUUUACCCAAGGAAUCUAGUCCGUUGCAAUUUAUCAACUAGGGAUGCUGAUUUUUUAAAACUGCAGCCUGGCUUGGUCGAAAGUUUAAAGACAAGUAGACAACCCGCAUGUAAUAACAUAAAAAGCGCAUAAACCAAACCAUAUAAAUAUAAAUAUGGUGUGUUUUGCGUGCUUUAUAAAUUUAAAAAAUAAAUACUUUUAAUUGAAAUUAUGAAUAAAAUAUAAAUAUAUGGUGAUGAAAAUAUUUUUUAUAAUAAAUUUAUUUCAAAUUUAUAAUCUCCGAGUUGCAUACUAAAAAAAAUUUAAGCAAAAAUGUUUAUUUAAUAAUAAUGAGUAUCAGGACAUGUAUUAUUAUAAUAUAAUCAGUUUAUAGAAUUUAGUAUAAUAGUAAUACAAGAAGCUAGAUUUAUUAAAUAAUAACUAAUUAACUAUUUGGUUUCGAAAAAAAAUAAUUAAUCAAUUAUUAUUUGAAGAAGUUUAACAAAUAUACACAUAACAUAAUUGUAAAUUAUAUAUAUAUAUAUAUAUAUAUAUAUAUGUGUGUGUGUAUAUAAUGAGUUGGGCUCAAUGGAGAUCGUAAACUUUGGAGUCAUCAGAGACUACAAGAUCUACCGUUAAAAUAAUCUGACAAUUAAUAGACAUAAUUAAAUAUUCUUUAUCCUGCAUGUAUAGUAAUGUAAUAUUAAUAAUUUACACUAUUCUUAUCCUACAUUUCUAGUAAUAUAUUAUUAAUAUUCUCGUCCUGCAUUUCAUGUUUUAGUUUUAAUUCAAAACUAUCUUUAUAAUUUACACUAUUCUUGUCCUUCAUUUUUAGUAAUGUAAUAUUAAUAAUUUGUCCCUCAUAUUUGUGAUAUAUCUAAGUGUUAUUUUUGUCUUGCAACAAAUUCAAUUCGUUGCCGGACAAUGACAAUAAAUUUAAUGCUAAUCAUAACAAUUUCCAACUACAUCUUUGUUUGUUUUGUAUGCAAUUAUUAAUUUUAUUUGUUAAGAUUUCGGUGAUCGAAGACCAAUAUUAUGAAAUUAUUAUUUUAUGUUAGGCAGGAUUUAGAAGUACUACUUGUUAUUCACCGAUUUAGAAGUGCAGAAUAGGAUAAUAUUGCAGCACUUGGAUGUGUAAGAAAUGGCUUUUACUUAAUUCAAUAUUUGUAUACAGUGGUACUUUCUAAACUAUAAGAGCAUCUCCAAUGACGUUAGCUAUAAUUGUUGGCUAAAUUGGACCUGUAAGACAUUAUGUAAAAUUUGCUGAACCUGUAAGACAUUGUGUUUCAAUGGUAUUGGCUAUAUUGGUUGGCUAUGAUUUAAAAAUAGUAUGUUAUUAAUAUUUAGAUGUUAUAAAUAAAAUAUAUCAGUUUAAUAUGUUAAUUAAUAAUAUUUAAUUAGCAGGAAGGAGGAAAAUAAAUUGCGGGAAAUGACGUGGAAUUCACUACAGAUCUGUAGUGGUUCGACAAAUAUAGCUAUACAUAGGAGGAUGGCUAUAAUUAUACAUAAGGGCUUGUUGUGGUUGGAGUUAAUUUUUUAUGAAUAUUGGCUAUAAAAUUUAAUUUUGGAAAGCCACCUAGAUUUUUAGCUAAGGGCUUGGAAGGGUUGGAGAUGCUCUAAGCAAGAUAUAAAUUCUUUUGUCUGGCUUUGAUUCUAAUAAUUUUAAGGCAAACAAUACAUAAUUCAGUUGUAAAACCAGGUCAAAUUUAAAUUUGCAAGAACCGAACAUCUUUUGGUCUGCAGUCCAGUGGCAGAAGUCUCUUUACCAAGUUCCACACACUGUCGACCAAAUUUUCUUUCCAAAAAGAAAUGAGUGGUGACUUGCAUUUCUUCGCCCUCUAUUGACCGGAACCUUGUUGACAAGUUUGCAUAUCAACUUAGUCCUCCCCUUAUUCCUGUUUCGUGUGGCAAAAUAUUAGAACUUUAAAAGUUAAAUAAUUUAGUAUUAGAAUUGUGUUCUAAAAUAAAUAAAACAUUAGCCUGAACAGGUCCUGUGCUAUUGAUAAUGGAGCCAUCAAGCUCUGUUAUAUGAUAAGAUUUAAAAUAGAAUCGGAGUUGAUGCUAAAAUCUAACGAUGAAGUUUGGGAGGGAAACGGAUAACAGUGGUUGGGUCUGAGAGGGGAAUCAGUUGCUUCAAUCAAGAGUUUGCUGAUACAAUCAAUUACCACCAAAAUCUCAUGAAAAUCACUACGAAUAAGAAAGAGAUUUAGUUGCUGUAUAAAUAUAAUAAUGCUAAUAAUAUGUUUAUCUAGGAGCUAUAGCUGUCACACUGCAGUAGUUGGCUGAACACGAUGAAGAGUCUCCUUCGUGCACAUUCCUCUCGAUGAAAAAUCCUGGUUGCUUAGGUUGAGGCAGGGGAAGCUCACUGGUUAGCAUUAGCACCGCCGUUGCCAUGGUCGGCCUGUCUGCUGGAUAUUGUUGCACACAUAAUAACCCUAUUUGAAUAGCUCGAAACACUUCGUAUUGAUGUUCAGGGCUUAAAUUUUCAAUAACCUCAUCUACUAGGUCCAACGCGUUUCCAUCCAUAUAGGUUCUCCAUGACUAAAACAGUGGAAAUUUAGCGAUGAGUUCAAUUAGUAAAACAUAAGUAAUGACCAUUUUACUACUUUAUAUGAUGGUCCAGAAACUUACAUGUCCUAGAAAGUUAAGAUUGUGAUCUAGAUGAGUAAAAUUUUUGUUUCUUUUUCCGUUCACCGUCUCUAAAAUUAGUACCCCAAAGCUAUAAACAUCAGAUUUCACCGAAAAUAUGCCAUCCGCUGCAUACUCAGGAGACAUGUAACCACUGCAAGAACAUCUGAUCUAUCACAUUUUUGCUAAUAGAAACAUUAUUUCUUAGAAUGCAAGAUAUUCUUACUAUGUUCCAACUACUCUGGUUGUAUUGGCUCCUGUUUCCGUCUCUCCGCAGAUCCUUGCUGUGCCAAAAUCUGAAAUUUUUGGGUUCAUCUCAAGAUCGAGCAAAACAUUGCUGGCUUUAAGAUCCCUGUGUAUGAUCCGCAAUCUAGAAUCCUGAUGAAGAUAGAGAAGUCCCCUGGCGAUGCCAAUAAUGAUGUUAUACCGAGUAGGCCAGUCAAGCGUGUAUCUUUUCGUCUUAUCUAAUGAAAAGGUCAUUAAAGUUAAUCCAGUGCUGUGAAAACAAGGUGAAAAUUAUAUGAUUCAAAAAUUAAUACAUGAUCACUGUAACAGAGAAGAAGUAUACCAAAUAUGAACGAGUCCAGGCUUUUAUUGGGCAUGUAUUCGUACACCAACAUUCUUUCCCCGUCCUGCACAGAGCAGCCGAGAAGCUUCACAAGGUUUCGGUGCUGAAGUCGAGCAAUGCAUGAAACUUCAUUUUUAAACUCUUUCAACCCUUGCCUCGAAUCCUUUGAAAGCCUCUUUACAGCUAUUUCUUUUCCAUCGUCCAGCAU